This 92-nucleotide transfer RNA is filed under the name Oscillatoriaceae cyanobacterium M7585_C2015_266. It matches the Rfam family "tRNA". From Rfam's summary of the family: Transfer RNA (tRNA) molecules are approximately 80 nucleotides in length. Their secondary structure includes four short double-helical elements and three loops (D, anti-codon, and T loops). The record is from Rfam by way of RNAcentral. RNAcentral also lists the same sequence under 4 other names. Lineage: Bacteria; Bacillati; Cyanobacteriota; Cyanophyceae; Oscillatoriales; Oscillatoriaceae.
GGAGAGGUGGCUGAGUGGUCGAAAGCGGCAGAUUGCUAAUCUGUUGUACGGCAGGAAACUCCGUACCGAGGGUUCGAAUCCCUCCUUCUCCG